This 105-nucleotide transfer RNA is filed under the name Burkholderia ubonensis. RNAcentral's name for it is "tRNA-OTHER". It matches the Rfam family "tRNA". Rfam says of the family: Transfer RNA (tRNA) molecules are approximately 80 nucleotides in length. Their secondary structure includes four short double-helical elements and three loops (D, anti-codon, and T loops). Lineage: Bacteria; Pseudomonadati; Pseudomonadota; Betaproteobacteria; Burkholderiales; Burkholderiaceae. The record is from RNAcentral.
UGCGACGUAGCUCAGUCGGAUAGAGCGUCUCGGCUUCGGAGUGAUUCAGGGCGCGCUGAAUCGCGGGCGAGAAGGUCGCGGGUUCAAAUCCCGUCGUCGCAUCCC